UACGGGGGGGAGCAAGCGUUGUUCGGAUUUACUGGGCGUAAAGGGCGCGUAGGCGGCGCGGUAAGCGUGCGGUGAAAGCCCGGGGCUCAACCCCGGGUCGGCCGUGCGGACUGCCGGGCUGGAGCACUGUAGAGGCAGGUGGAAUUCCGGGUGUAGCGGUGGAAUGCGUAGAGAUCCGGAAGAACACCGGUGGCGAAGGCGGCCUGCUGGGCAGUAGCUGACGCUGAAGCGCGACAGCGUGGGGAGCAAACAGG
This 254-nucleotide ribosomal RNA is filed under the name uncultured bacterium. RNAcentral's name for it is "partial 16S ribosomal RNA". It matches the Rfam family "Bacterial small subunit ribosomal RNA", at positions 524 to 776 of the family's 1533-position model. The record is from RNAcentral.